This 308-nucleotide ribosomal RNA is filed under the name uncultured bacterium. RNAcentral's name for it is "partial 16S ribosomal RNA". It matches the Rfam family "Bacterial small subunit ribosomal RNA", at positions 505 to 807 of the family's 1533-position model. The record is from RNAcentral.
GAGACAGCAGUCGCCGCGGUAAAACGUAGGGUGCAAGCGUUAAUCGGAAUUACUGGGCGUAAAGCGUGCGCAGGCGGUUAUAUAAGUCAGAUGUGAAAUCCCCGGGCUCAACCUGGGAACUGCAUUUGAGACUGUAUGGCUAGAGUGUGUCAGAGGGGGGUAGAAUUCCACGUGUAGCAGUGAAAUGCGUAGAUAUGUGGAGGAAUACCGAUGGCGAAGGCAGCCCCCUGGGAUAACACUGACGCUCAUGCACGAAAGCGUGGGGAGCAAACAGGAUUAGAUACCCGGGUAGUCCCUGUCUCUUAUAC